GCUGACCAGCUAGCCCACCCUAACAAAAACAACAACCCAAUAUAAAUAACCCCAAACACACUACUCCUCCUAUAAACAAACCAUUUUACCCCCCUAGUAUGGGCGACAGAAAAGGAACUAUUGGAGCGAUAGAGAAAGUACCGCAAGGGAACGCUGAAAGAGAAAUGAAAUAACCCAGUAAAGCCUAAAAAAGCAGAGAUUUUACCUCGUACCUUUUGCAUCAUGAUUUAGCUAGUACUACCCAAGCAAAGAGAACUUUAGUUUGGACCCCCGAAACUAGGUGAGCUACUCCAAGACAGCCUAUCAAUAGGGCAAACCCGUCUCUGUGGCAAAAGAGUGGGAAGAGCUUUGAGUAGAGGUGACAGACCUACCGAACCUAGUUAUAGCUGGUUGCCUGAGAAUUGGAUAGGAGUUCAGCCUCCAGGCUUCUCUAUUCACCGCGGUCUUACCCCUACCGAUGCACUAAAGAAGCCUAGAGAGUUAAUCAAAGGGGGUACAGCCCCUUUGAGACAAGAUACAACUUUUCCAGGAGGGUAAAGAUCAUAUUUACCCAAGGUAACAAUGCCCAGGUGGGCCUAAAAGCAGCCAUCCUUACAGAAAGCGUUAAAGCUCAAGCAUUACACCUUCCCACAUAUUCAGAUAACCAUAUCCCAACCCCCUAAUAUUAUCAGGCCAUCUCAUGCAUACAUGAGAGUGCACAUGCUAAUAUGAGUAACAAGAGAGCCUCCGCCUCUCUCCUUGCACACGUGUAAAUCGGAACGAACCCCCACCGAAACUUAACGGCCCCAAACAAAGAGGGCAAUGAACAACAAGUAAGCAACCAGAAAACCAUCCAAAAAACAACCGUUAACCCCACACUGGUGUGCCAUUAAGGAAAGACUAAAAGAAAAAGAAGGAACUCGGCAAACAUACCAAGCCUCGCCUGUUUACCAAAAACAUCGCCUCUUGCAAAAACAAAGAAUAAGAGGUCCAGCCUGCCCUGUGACUAUAUGUUUAACGGCCGCGGUAUUUUAACCGUGCGAAGGUAGCGCAAUCACUUGUCUUUUAAAUGGAGACCUGUAUGAAUGGCAUUACGAGGGCUUAACUGUCUCCUUUUUCUAGUCAGUGAAAUUGAUCUCCCCGUGCAGAAGCGGGGAUGUAACCAUAAGACGAGAAGACCCUAUGGAGCUUUAGACACCAAGGCAUAUCAUGUUAAACACCCCUAAACAAAGGACUAAACCAAAUGAAUCAUGCCCCCAUGUCUUUGGUUGGGGCGACCGCGGGGAAAUAAAAAACCCCCACGUGGAAUGGGAGUACUACCUCCUACAACCAAGAGCUGCAGCUCUAAAAAACAGAAUAUCUGACCAAUAAGAUCCGGCAACGCCGAUCAACGGACCGAGUUACCCUAGGGAUAACAGCGCAAUCCCCUUUUAGAGCCCAUAUCGACAAGGGGGUUUACGACCUCGAUGUUGGAUCAGGACAUCCUAAUGGUGCAGCCGCUGUUAAGGGUUCGUUUGUUCAACGAUUAAAGUCCUACGUGAUCUGAGUUCAGACCGGAGUAAUCCAGGUCAGUUUCUAUCUAUGAUAUGUUCUUUUCUAGUACGAAAGGACCGAAAAGAAGAGGCCAAUGCUAAAAGCACGCCUCACCCCUCCUAUUGAAAACAACUAAAAUAGGCAAAAGGGCAUACCCCUCCACGCCCAAGAUAAUGGCAU
This 1692-nucleotide ribosomal RNA is filed under the name Thunnus tonggol (longtail tuna). Its description in RNAcentral is "16S ribosomal RNA". It matches the Rfam family "Bacterial large subunit ribosomal RNA". Lineage: Eukaryota; Metazoa; Chordata; Actinopteri; Scombriformes; Scombridae. The record is from RNAcentral.